This is a long non-coding RNA of Mya arenaria, 1133 nucleotides long. RefSeq lists it as uncharacterized. The transcript has 4 exons. NCBI's taxonomy places the organism in Eukaryota, Metazoa, Mollusca, Bivalvia, Myida, Myidae. The record is from RefSeq and is a predicted model, not a curated record.
UCUAGAGAUGUUUGUCGAAAUAAUGCGCCAAAUAAACUGAAGUGUUGUUUCGUUUAUUAAAGCCGGCCUAAGUGAGCUAACAAAGAAAUCAUCAGUCCACAAAAGAAUCAACCAGGGAAGGAGAAAAACAUUCAAAGCUGCAAAUUGCCAAAUCCAUCACCGGCCUAAAGGAGCUAACAAAAAAAUCAUCAGUCCAUAAAAGAAUCAACCAGUGAAGGAGAAAAACAUUCAAAGCUGUAAAUUGCCAAAUCCAUCAGUUGGAAGAUGGAUGUCAAAGUCUCAGACAAAAGCUUCCAGAGUUAAGGAGAGAACACUUCAACAAAAACAAGCACGAGAAGAAUGACUGCAAAAAAGUUUUUCGCAGAUUCGUUUCCUUAUCAAGUGUAUUUAAGGAAAAUGGACAGGAGUGUCUACAGAGACUAGAUGUAAAUGUCAAUGACUGCAAUGAGCAAUUCAAUGACUCCUUUCUAAUUGUGUCAAGUGUCAUAAAAAAUUAAAACUGUUAUAAAUGGACGUGUAGUAAUGAUGAAAUUAUUACCCUGUUGCGAAUAACAUUAACUAUUCAUGAACUUAGUUCAUGAAUGACAUUUUGAAAAAAUCAUGUUCAUGAACUGUCAAGUUCAUUAACUAAGUGGGAGUUCAUGAACAUGAUUUGUCCAAAUUGUCAUUCAUGAAUAGUUUAUGUUUUUCUUUAAAAGCACACGCCAGGGGCUAGAAUAAGGUUAGGUGAAUAAGGGUCCUCUUAUUUAAACUUCAGAUAGGCUUGCACAAGCUCGCAAAGUGAAUUGUAACGAGCUUAUCAAGCUCGUAAUAUUGCUCAUACAAGCUCGUAAAGCUGCCCAUGACGAGCUUGUACAAGCUCGCGACGUGAAAUGUAACAUGCUUGUCAAGCUCGUAAAAUUGCUCAUACAAGCCUGUAAAGCUGCUCGUGACGAGCUUGUACGAUCUUGUUUUUAAGCUUGUACUAUCUUAAUUUUGAGCGUGUACGAGCUUAAACGAACACGUACGAGCUGGUAUUUGUUUCAAUUACGGCCCAUAAUAGCUUAAAGCUCGGGCGCGCUUGCUCGCGAACUAGAUUGGGAAGUUGAUCGUACGAUCCCUUGACAAGCUCGUCUUCUAGCUCGCGAUUUUCA